Molecule: transfer RNA, 72 nt
Filed under: Candidatus Zhuqueibacterota bacterium
Lineage: Bacteria; Pseudomonadati
Description: candidate division KSB1 bacterium (freshwater sediment metagenome) tRNA-Gly
Rfam family: tRNA
About the family: Transfer RNA (tRNA) molecules are approximately 80 nucleotides in length.
Source: RNAcentral
GCGGGAGUAGUUCAGUGGUAGAACACCACCUUGCCAAGGUGGUUGUCGCGAGUUCAAGUCUCGUCUCCCGCU